This is a long non-coding RNA of Cyprinus carpio (common carp), 1027 nucleotides long. The record is from Ensembl. NCBI's taxonomy places the organism in Eukaryota, Metazoa, Chordata, Actinopteri, Cypriniformes, Cyprinidae.
AUCAGUGAUGGAGGAGGAUCUAGGGAACCCUGUGGCUAAGAAGACUGAGGAGGAGUCCAGUAGUGUCCUUCUCACUUACUUCAAAGGAGACAUCAACAGCAUGGUGGAUGAACAUUUCUCCCGUGCUCUGAGUCAAGCAGCAAAACCGAAGGGAGAACGCUCCGAAAUCAAAAGAAACUGUAAAGUUGCUCAGACAAAUGGACUUGGAUCAAGUCAAUGGGAAGCACAGUCACAAACCAGGUUUCAGCACUUGUUUCCUCCAGAACAUCUCCGGGAAGGAACAAGCAGAGAGUCUCAAUCAAACCAUCAUAUGCCACCAAAUCACCAUGCAAACAGUGCUGCUCUGUGGUCAGGAGAUUCUAGGCAGGGAUUGAGUCUUGCUCUGCCCCCCAUGAUGCCCUACCCCUCAGCUGUAUCCUCUGAUGGUUUGAUGGGGACAGAACACCAGUACUCUAAUUCUCUGUUAAACUUGCUUCACAACGAUCACCCUGACACGGGCACAGUGGUGCUACCCUCCUCCAAACAAGACCUCAUGUCAGGAUGGACCAAGUACCCAGGAUUUGGCAAUCAGAUGAAUUGCAAUAUCAAUCUUAACUCUGGUGUACAGGGGAUUGAAAAAAGGGAUGUUUAUUGGUAUUAACAAUGUUAUUUGAGAUUUAAAAGGAAGAACAAAGAAGUCUUUCAUCAUUUUCUUGUUUAACUGGACCCUGCAAUGCUUCUCCUGGAGGCGUCUGUACAUCCAACCUGUUCAGAAACAAGCUCUUCAUGUACCGAAGCACAGAAGAAGAUUGUACAAGAGAUUGGCCUCAGGCUCUAUAUGGUUAAAGACGUUUUACACGCACACAGAAACACACACUAAAUCUGUUUUUCUUUUUUUUUAUUAUUAUUAUUAUUAUUUGUAGAGUGUCAGGUGGAGUUUGUUAUUGUUGUUGUUGUUUUUUAAUAGCAAACACCUGAUAGACUUUUUGUCUGAAAGCUAUUUUUAGGUCUAAAUAAAUUGAAAUGAUUUGAAAAAUUAUUACGAACA